UGAGGAAUAUUGGACAAUGGAUGGAAAUCUGAUCCAGCCAUGCCGCGUGCAGGAAGACUGCCCUAUGGGUUGUAAACUGCUUUUGUAUGGGAGCAAUAAGCCCUUCGUGAAGGGUGAUGAGAGUACCAUACGAAUAAGCAUCGGCUAACUCCGUGCCAGCAGCCGCGGUAAUACGGAGGAUGCAAGCGUUAUCCGGAUUUAUUGGGUUUAAAGGGUGCGUAGGCGGUUGGAUAAGUCAGCGGUGAAAGUUUUCUGCUUAACAGGAAAAAUGCCGUUGAUACUGUCUGGCUAGAAUAUGGUUGCUGUGAGUGGAAUGUGUGGUGUAGCGGUGAAAUGCUUAGAUAUCACACAGAAUAUCGAUUGCGAAGGCAGCUCACAAAGCCAUUAUUGACGCUGAGGCACGAAAGUGUGGGGAUCAAACAGGAUUAGAUACCCUGGUAGUCCACACUGUAAACGAUGAUAACUCGCUGUCGGCGAUACACAGUCGGUGGCCAAGCGAAAGCGAUAAGUUAUCCACCUGGGGAGUACGACCGCAAGGUUA
Molecule: ribosomal RNA, 541 nt
Filed under: uncultured bacterium
Lineage: Bacteria
Description: bacterial SSU rRNA
Rfam family: Bacterial small subunit ribosomal RNA
Source: RNAcentral